Molecule: ribosomal RNA, 492 nt
Filed under: uncultured bacterium
Lineage: Bacteria
Description: partial 16S ribosomal RNA
Rfam family: Bacterial small subunit ribosomal RNA
Source: RNAcentral
AGUGAACGCUGGCGGUAGGCCUAACACAUGCAAGUCGAACGGCAGCACAGUAAGAGCUUGCUCUUACGGGUGGCGAGUGGCGGACGGGUGAGGAAUACAUCGGAAUCUACUUUUUCGUGGGGGAUAACGUAGGGAAAAUUACGCUAAUACCGCAUACGACCUACGGGUGAAAGCAGGGGAUCUUCGGACCUUGCGCGAUUGAAUGCGCCGAUGUCGGAUUGGCUAGUUGGCGGGGUAAAGGCCCACCAAGGCGACGAUCCGUAGCUGGUCUGAGAGGAUGAUCAGCCACACUGGAACUGAGACACGGUCCAGACUCCUACGGGAGGCAGCAGUGGGGAAUAUUGGACAAUGGGCGCAAUCCUGAUCCAGCCAUACCGCGUGGGUGAAGAAGGCCUUCGGGUUGUAAAGCCCUUUUGUUGGGAAAGAAAAGCAGCAGGUUAAUACCCCGCUGUUCUGACGGUACCCAAAGAAUAAGCACCGGCUAACUUCGUG